AGCGAACGCUGGCGGCAGGCUUAACACAUGCAAGUCGAACGCUCGUAGCAAUACGAGAGUGGCAGACGGGUGAGUAACACGUGGGAACGUACCUUUCGGUUCGGAAUAACCCGGGGAAAC
Molecule: ribosomal RNA, 120 nt
Filed under: uncultured bacterium
Lineage: Bacteria
Description: partial 16S ribosomal RNA
Rfam family: Bacterial small subunit ribosomal RNA
Source: RNAcentral